GGGGCAGCAGUAGGGAAUCUUCCACAAUGGACGAAAGUCUGAUGGAGCAACGCCGCGUGAGUGAAGAAGGGUUUCGGCUCGUAAAGCUCUGUUGGUAGUGAAGAAAGAUAGAGGUAGUAACUGGCCUUUAUUUGACGGUAAUUACUUAGAAAGUCACGGCUAACUACGUGCCAGCAGCCGCGGUAAUACGUAGGUGGCAAGCGUUGUCCGGAUUUAUUGGGCGUAAAGCGAGUGCAGGCGGUUCAAUAAGUCUGAUGUGAAAGCCUUCGGCUCAACCGGAGAAUUGCAUCAGAAACUGUUGAACUUGAGUGCAGAAGAGGAGAGUGGAACUCCAUGUGUAGCGGUGGAAUGCGUAGAUAUAUGGAAGAACACCAGUGGCGAAGGCGGCUCUCUGGUCUGCAACUGACGCUGAGGCUCGAAAGCAUGGGUAGCGAACAGGAUUAGAUACCCUGGUAGUCCAUGCCGUAAACGAUGAGUGCUAAGUGUUGGGAGGUUUCCGCCUCUCAGUGCUGCAGCUAACGCAUUAAGCACUCCGCCUGGGGAGUACGACCGCAAGGUUGAAACUCAAAGGAAUUGACGGGGGCCCGCACAAGCGGUGGAGCAUGUGGUUUAAUUCGAAGCAACGCGAAGAACCUUACCAGGUCUUGACAUCCAGUGCAAACCUAAGAAAUUAGGUGUUCCCUUCGGGGACGCUGAGACAGGUGGUGCAUGGCUGUCGUCAGCCG
RNAcentral lists this ribosomal RNA (725 nucleotides) under Lactobacillus johnsonii. Its description in RNAcentral is "bacterial SSU rRNA". It matches the Rfam family "Bacterial small subunit ribosomal RNA", at positions 345 to 1061 of the family's 1533-position model. The record is from RNAcentral. Lineage: Bacteria; Bacillati; Bacillota; Bacilli; Lactobacillales; Lactobacillaceae.